UCGCUCCUACCGAUUGAAUGAUCCGGUGAAAUCUUCGGACCAGUCUCUGUAGCAGGUUCGCCUCUGCAGAAAUUGGGAAGUUGCUUGAACCUUAUCAUUUAGAGGAAGGAG
This 111-nucleotide ribosomal RNA is filed under the name uncultured eukaryote. RNAcentral describes it as "partial small subunit ribosomal RNA". It matches the Rfam family "Eukaryotic small subunit ribosomal RNA", at positions 1676 to 1785 of the family's 1831-position model. The record is from RNAcentral.